GGAACGAACGCUGGCGGCAUGCCUAAUACAUGCAAGUCGAACGAACACUUCGGUGUUAGUGGCGCACGGGUGCGUAACGCGUGGGAAUCUGCCCUUGGGUUCGGAAUAACAGUUGGAAACGACUGCUAAUACCGGAUGAUGACGAAAGUCCAAAGAUUUAUCGCCCAGGGAUGAGCCCGCGUAGGAUUAGCUAGUUGGUGAGGUAAAGGCUCACCAAGGCGACGAUCCUUAGCUGGUCUGAGAGGAUGAUCAGUCACACUGGAACUGAGACACGGUCCAGACU
RNAcentral lists this ribosomal RNA (283 nucleotides) under uncultured soil bacterium. RNAcentral describes it as "partial 16S ribosomal RNA". It matches the Rfam family "Bacterial small subunit ribosomal RNA", at positions 27 to 337 of the family's 1533-position model. The record is from RNAcentral.